GACGUAGGGCGCAAGCGUUGUCCGGAUUUACUGGGCGUAAAGAGCGCGCAGGCGGUCGUUCAAGUCGCGUGUGAAAGCCCCCGGCUCAACUGGGGAGGGUCACGCGAUACUGAUCGACUCGAAGGCAGGAGAGGGUAGUGGAAUUCCCGGUGUAGUGGUGAAAUGCGUAGAUAUCAAGCGGAACACCAGUGGCGAAGGCGAGUCCCUGGACAACUCCUGACACUGAGGCACGAAAGCUAGGGGAGCAAACAGG
Molecule: ribosomal RNA, 253 nt
Filed under: uncultured bacterium
Lineage: Bacteria
Description: partial 16S ribosomal RNA
Rfam family: Bacterial small subunit ribosomal RNA
Source: RNAcentral